AACCGGAUUAGAUACCCUGGUAGUCCAUGCCGUAAACGUUGGGCACUAGGUGUGGGGACCAUUCCACGGUUUCCGCGCCGCAGCUAACGCAUUAAGUGCCCCGCCUGGGGAGUACGGCCGCAAGGCUAAAACUCAAAGGAAUUGACGGGGGCCCGCACAAGCGGCGGAGCAUGCGGAUUAAUUCGAUGCAACGCGAAGAACCUUACCAAGGCUUGACAUGUUCUCGAUCGCCGUAGAGAUACGGUUUCCCCUUUGGGGCGGGUUCACAGGUGGUGCAUGGUUGUCGUCAGCUCGUGUCGUGAGAUGUUGGGUUAAGUCCCGCAACGAGCGCAACCCUCGUUCCAUGUUGCCAGCACGUAAUGGUGGGGACUCAUGGGAGACUGCCGGGGUCAACUCGGAGGAAGGUGAGGACGACGUCAAAUCAUCAUGCCCCUUAUGUCUUGGGCUUCACGCAUGCUACAAUGGCCGGUACAAUGGGUUGCGAUACUGUGAGGUGGAGCUAAUCCCAAAAAGCCGGUCUCAGUUCGGAUUGGGGUCUGCAACUCGACCCCAUGAAGUCGGAGUCGCUAGUAAUCGCAGAUCAGCAACGCUGCGGUGAAUACGUUCCCGGGCCUUGUACACACCGCCCGUCAAGUCACGAAAGUCGGUAACACCCGAAGCCGGUGGCCUAACCCUUGUGGGGGGAGCCGUCGAAGGUGGGACCAGCGAUUGGGACUAAGUCGUAACAAGGUAGCC
RNAcentral lists this ribosomal RNA (735 nucleotides) under uncultured Micrococcus sp. RNAcentral's name for it is "bacterial SSU rRNA". It matches the Rfam family "Bacterial small subunit ribosomal RNA", at positions 771 to 1501 of the family's 1533-position model. Lineage: Bacteria; Bacillati; Actinomycetota; Actinomycetes; Micrococcales; Micrococcaceae. The record is from RNAcentral.